This is a non-coding RNA of Chlorocebus sabaeus (green monkey), 1216 nucleotides long. NCBI's taxonomy places the organism in Eukaryota, Metazoa, Chordata, Mammalia, Primates, Cercopithecidae. The record is from RefSeq and is a predicted model, not a curated record.
UAUGCUUUUUCUAUAGAUGGUUUAUUAAAUGACUUGCAAUGAAAUCGAACACAGGACUCUUCUUUAACCCCUUCAGGAACCUGAUGAAACGCCUGGUCUAACAGAAGGAGGCAGAGAAAGUUAUGAAGAGGGGAUCCUGAAGAAUUUGCUCCUGGGCCGUGAAGAUGGGAAGCUGAGUCAGAGUGCAGUUCUUCACCCAAUCCCACAGCCACACAUGCCUGCUCACUCACGGGAUCUUCCCACUCUCCUUGGGAAGGCUUCCGAGCUGCUUCCUCAGGAUGUCCUGUGAUCGCAGCCUGACCUGUCAAAGCCAUGCGAAUGCCAUCUGUUCAGUUAUAUAACUUGAGAUCUGGGAAGGAUUCUCAACGUAGGAUUUGCUGCCCAAAUCGAAUCAUUUUCAGAAAGGAGAUUAAACAUUCUUUGCUGGGAAAAGGAGAAAUAACCAGACAAAUCAUCAUUUCCCUGAGUAUAAAGAAACCUUUGUCCAAAAUACACAAAUGAAAAUGACAAAUUUGCUUCACUAAUAUUUGCUUGCAUUAAAAAUAUACACAGGACUAUGGAUCAAUAUCUUAAGUGCAAAAUAAAUUCUUAAUUGGGAACAUGGAAUUAUUAAUUUAACAAUCUUAAUUUUGUUUAGAUCAUUAGCCUGCAGUAUAAUGCCCCAAGCAGAAUUUGGGGUGAGGGGCUUGGUGGGGGAAGAGGAAGUGCUCAUUACUACAGACUUGACAAGAUUAUUAACACUACAGAAUGAUUUUUCUUUCAUGGGAGGGGAAGAUAUCUGGACCACCAGCAGUCAGACAGAAACCCUGACUUGUGAUUUUAACAUUACCUUCUGUGACCCAUGGUCACCUUGUAUGACCAAAGAAAACCAUUUAUGAAAUAGCUGCCUGGAGUUAAGGAUUUAAAUGGUAACUUUGUAGACUAGGUUUUCUCUCGUCAUCUAAUUUACUCGCCUUAACGCUUGUUUCUUUGCCCUUAUUCUUACUAGCCCUCGAGUAUAAUAUCCUGAGAAUUUAUGUUGAACAGCACUAAUUUUUUCACAUGGAGCUAGCACAUGUUUAUGACUAGUACAAGUUUAUGACUACAAAAAACAGAGAUUUUGUCAUCUUAAACUGAAUUUACUGGGAAUAAAAUCAGUCAAUACAGAAAAGUAUAACAAAGGAAAUAAAAAUCACCACAACUCCUACUACCCGAAGAUUAUAUGGUUAAGGUGUUU